GCAGCAAAAGGCCAGACGGCACGACCUUCAGUGUGUAUGGAAAAUGUAACGCCUACUUCGAAUGCUACUACGGCACCGCUCUGUACCGCGAAUGUAACGAUUAUUACAGAUUUGAGAAGGGUCAAUGCAAGCCAGACCCCAACUGUUAUAAUAACAAACCAUAUGGCUCAUAUAGUAACUCUUAUGGUAAAUCUGACAACACCUAUGGUCAACCUGAAAACUCCUACGGUCAAUCUGGCAACACCUAUGGUCAACCUGACAAGUCCUAUGGUCAAGCUGACAAGUCCUACGGUCAAUAUGGAAACUUCUAUGGCUAUUAACAUCCUUUUAAAAGCCCAUUUUGUCGGCCGGGAGAACAGCUCACUAAGUAUCGUUUCUUCAGCGAUACAAUUCAAAUUUUAAUAAUCGAUUUUAGUUAUACCUUUUUAAAGAGACAUUUGUUUCAUCUUUAUGUUUGAAAUAAAUCUUCCUUAGC
This is a long non-coding RNA of Physella acuta, 475 nucleotides long. RefSeq lists it as uncharacterized. The record is from RefSeq and is a predicted model, not a curated record. NCBI's taxonomy places the organism in Eukaryota, Metazoa, Mollusca, Gastropoda, Physidae.